This is a long non-coding RNA of Canis lupus familiaris (dog), 824 nucleotides long. RefSeq lists it as uncharacterized. The record is from RefSeq and is a predicted model, not a curated record. The transcript is spliced from 4 exons. Lineage: Eukaryota; Metazoa; Chordata; Mammalia; Carnivora; Canidae.
GAGCCGCGAGGCGUGGAGGCGGGAGGGGCCCCGGCCGGCAUCCCUGAUUGGCGCGCGCACCAGGCCUUCCCACGCUUUUGCGUUGCUCCACGUCAGCGCUGCUUGUAUGUUGUGCAAAAUCCACGACGCAGAGCGGAGCCAUAUGGUGCGGAGUAGUUCUACCUCCCUGUUCCCGGGCCUGGGCCUCAGCUACCGGAGCCCAGCUAACCAUGGUUUUCCUUCCACGCUACACCCUUAGAUCAAAGGUUCUCAAAAUGGGCUGCAAGCUGGGAUCACGUGGAAAGCUUUUGCGUUGUGGUCCCGCUCCCUGAGAUGCAUUGCAUUGAGAGAAUUUGCAUGUGCAUGUGUGAACAGAAGAGGAGCAGAGGAAGAGGAAGAAAGAGAAUCUCAAGCAGACUCCUGCUGAGCUUGGAGCCUGACACUGGACCUCACAACUCUUUUGAGAUUAUGACCUGCGCUGAAAUCAAGAGUCAAGAGCUUAACCUACUGAGCCACCCAGGACGCAGAAGACUCGACAGUGUGAAAUAUGAAUGUGGUAUUUUGGAAAAGCAAAGGUAUCCCAUAUCAGAGGCAGUACGGUAUAUUGGCAAGAGGAAGGGGCCAGGAGCCAAACAAACUAAGGAUAAAUCUUAGCCCAAUCAGGAAAAUAACAAGAGUUUUUCCCCUCAGACUCAUAGAGUUCAAGGCAUACUGAAGAUAUACUUCCUGGGGCUUGUAAUGUGUGUUGUCUUCGAGCUGGCAAAGGAGUCCCCGAUGGGAAGAGUACUGUGAAGCUAUUGGCUCCUGAUUCAUCGACUCCCUAAUAAACAGAAAAAUAAUAUGUA